Molecule: ribosomal RNA, 375 nt
Filed under: uncultured bacterium
Lineage: Bacteria
Description: bacterial SSU rRNA
Rfam family: Bacterial small subunit ribosomal RNA
Source: RNAcentral
AUACGUAGGUGGCAAGCGUUGUCCGGAAUUACUGGGUGUAAAGGGCGUGUAGGCGGGGAUGCAAGUCAGAUGUGAAACCCCAUGGCUCAACUGUGGGCUUGCAUCUGAAACUGUGUUUCUUGAGUGUUGGAGAGGGAAGUGGAAUUCCUAGUGUAGCGGUGAAAUGCGUAGAGAUUAGGAGGAACACCAGUGGCGAAGGCGACUUCCUGGCCAACAACUGACGCUGAGGCGCGAAAGCGUGGGGAGCAAACAGGAUUAGAUACCCUGGUAGUCCACGCCGUAAACGAUGGAUACUAGGUGUAGGUGGUAUAAGCCAUCUGUGCCGCAGUAAACACAUUAAGUAUCCCACCUGGGGAGUACGACCGCAAGGUUGAA